ACCAAGCUAAUAAACCUAUUACAUUCACUAACUAAAACAAAAGGGGGAAGAGGGAGAAUGGACCAAAUUGCUCGCCAAAGCCCUAUCUAUUACAAGCCAAGAGGUGUACACAUACCUCAUUAAAAGAAUAACUUAAGUAAAUGAAAUAAAUGAAAGGAAAUAAGGAGAGGCUAGGAAAGCAAGUAGACAUGCAAAUUUCAAUUAGCACAUUAGUCCACAUAGGAGAGAAACAAAAAGGGUAAAAGAGAUUAUACCGCCCUUGAAAUGAAGCUCUAAUGGAGUGAAAUCAACUUAUUUAUCCUCCAAAAUAAAAGAAAUGGUCAAGGUACCAAUUUAUUUGGCAAAUAAUCACA
Molecule: long non-coding RNA, 353 nt
Filed under: Coffea arabica (coffee)
Lineage: Eukaryota; Viridiplantae; Streptophyta; Magnoliopsida; Gentianales; Rubiaceae
Description: long non-coding RNA (CARA_LNC003730)
Source: RNAcentral